GUGUUUGGAGCAGUUCUGCUAGAGGAGGAAACAGCACAAAGGGCACUCUUAUGCUGCUGUAAACCAGUGCCAGGAUUUUUAAAAUGUGAGACACCUGUUACCCUGUGCCCAGAUUUCAUAUUGUUCAAACACACAUGCUCUACAUACAAUUUGUGCAGUUAAUGCAAUCAUCACAAGGUCCUAGGCCGACCUACAGCCUCAGCUUACGAAGAUGACAAGAUUAAGAGAUUAAAGUAAAGACAGGCAUAAGAAAUCAAAAGAGUAUUGAUUAAGGAAGUGAGAGUGUGAAGAGGAGGAGAAAGGCUGAAGAGGAGGAGAAAGGCUAAGAUCUUUUCCAAUGCAAAAUUAGGAAAAAAUAUACUACAGAUUUAUGAAAAAAUAAGAAGUGAAAGUAUUCUCUGACUGCAAGUAUGACCACCUGUCUUUCUAUAUCAGAACCCAAGCUAAAAGACUGCAUUUACUACCCUUCCUUGCUAACAAGAGUGACUACGUGACUAUGUUCUGGCCAAUGCAAACAGCCUGAAAAGCUGAUGUAAUGACUGGAUCUUCAGCAGCCACCUUGAGCAAGAGGUAGAAGCUAGAGGCUGAGGAAUGAUGGAGCAGAAAGGAAGGAGCUGGGGUUCCUAUUAACAUCCUGAAGCUACACUAUCAGGCCUGGACUGACCAACUCUUUCUGGCCUUCUUUUACAAGAGAAAAAUACAGUUAUUUAAACCACUAUACUUCUGUUUUCUUUUUUGGGGUAUAGAUAACUGAACCUAAUCCUGUCCCAAAUCCUGAUCCUAUCUAACCAGUGUUAGCUAUCAGCCCAUACGUAUACUGGAGAAUGACGUUUAACAAAAUAAGAUGUUAAAGUUCUAACUAAUUGUAAUAAUCAUGCAGUUUUCUCAUGCUGAACAAAGUUAAAGAAAUAUAAUGUGUGUUUCCUAAAGAGUGUCAUUUUUUGGAAAGAUAACAUGGGGCACAAAGUAACAUAAAAAUCUACAUAUAAUUAUGUAAACAUUGCUUUGACAUACAACACCAAAUAUUUUUAUUGUAUUUGUGAAUGCAUUUCUUGGUAAUAAAACGGCAGUUAUGAAUAAGUGAUACUUGGAAAGCUAUAACAUAAUGGGAGGAGAAGGUAUUAACACUGUGAUUUUAUGGGGUUGAAUCAGUUUUAGUUUCUUAUACAACUCAGAGCUUUACGUUAUUUAGACUGUCUAAACACUGGCGCAAGGUAGCAUUUUACUUAUCAAAACACUGGAGGAGGCAGUCUAUUUUAUGUGGGAAUAAUAGCUUUUUAACAGUGUUCGAUUAGGAGACAUUAGGAACCUUGCCUUGAAAACCAUUAGCAAAUUUAUCUAGAAGAUUUUACGUUACAUCUUAAAACAACCAGCUGCUAAGGACAUCCUAAACUGCUUAGUAUGCCAAUUUGCCUCAGAUGCUUGCCAUAUAAGCUGCUUUCAGGAGUCAGCAAUGAGUAUCAUAGAUACUUGAGGAUAAAAGGUUGAAGGAUAUUGGCAUUCAAAGAUGAAGCCAGAAACCCUGUACAGCCAAAAAAAUUAAACUUGCAUUUUACUUUGGAGUGAAAUGUCUUUGCUAUUUCCAAAGUUUUUAACUUUUGGGUUCUCAACUAGCCCUAGCAAUAUAAGGGCCUGACUAAUGACUCUUCCCAACAUUGUCAAACUUAAUUCAAACUUGAAAUCAAUCCCCUUUUUUUUCCUCCUAAAGCAAAGUAACUCACAAUAAUAAUAUGAGUACAUGUGAAUGGCCAAUUUAGAAGUUUAAGUCAUUCUUUUGUAAUCAGUACUAGAAUUAACUAGUGAUUUUUUUUUUUGGCAAGGAAUAACAAAAUAAUAGAAACUCCAUAUAUAUUAGAAAAAGAUCUGUAAGUUUGAGCCUUAUAUAUUAUUACAAUGUGGCAAUCAAGAGGAAAACUCAAGACAACUGUGCGCUGUGCUUGUCCUGUUUUGUUCAAACCACGAUAAUUUUAAAUAAAUAGUAAUGUUCAACAUUCACUGAUGACAUUAUCUAUCAACCACAUCACACCUGGAACACAGUAGAUAAUAAAUGGCAGCUGUUAUACCUUCCUUCUUGAAACAAAAUCCUGUCAUUUCAUUCUCAUUUUAACUUUGUGUUAAGCUUCUACAAUCCAUAAAAAUGAUAAAACAAUAAAAUGGUCCAACAUUAUCUAGUCCAGUCUUAUUUUUACAAAACAUUGACUUUAAAAGUCCCUGAGAUUUUAAUUUUACUGGUUUAAUCUGUCUUCCCUACCCUUGUUUAAAAAAAAAUAGAAUCAUGUGUCAUUAUUGGUUGAGUACCCG
Molecule: long non-coding RNA, 2301 nt
Filed under: Homo sapiens (human)
Lineage: Eukaryota; Metazoa; Chordata; Mammalia; Primates; Hominidae
Description: HSALNT0308645
Source: RNAcentral